UGUGUGUGUGUGUGUGUGUAUUCAACUGGUGGACAAAGGCUUGAAAGACAGGUGCAAAACUAAAUCCUCUUUUGCAACCCAGCAUUCAUUGUUCAGUGUGAGUUUUGAUGACCACAAGAAGGAAUAUG
Nannospalax galili (Upper Galilee mountains blind mole rat) is the source of this 128-nucleotide small nucleolar RNA. The record is from Ensembl. Lineage: Eukaryota; Metazoa; Chordata; Mammalia; Rodentia; Spalacidae.